Molecule: microRNA precursor, 52 nt
Organism: Chlorocebus sabaeus (green monkey)
Lineage: Eukaryota; Metazoa; Chordata; Mammalia; Primates; Cercopithecidae
Rfam family: mir-1302 microRNA precursor family
Source: Rfam
UUUUUAGUGUAACUAUGUCUCAUGCAACAUUUAGGGCAUACUUAUACUAAAA